Molecule: ribosomal RNA, 460 nt
Filed under: uncultured bacterium
Lineage: Bacteria
Description: partial 16S ribosomal RNA
Rfam family: Bacterial small subunit ribosomal RNA
Source: RNAcentral
CCUACGGGCGGCAGCAGUGAGGAAUAUUGGUCCAUGGGCUUACGCCUGAACCAGCCAAGUCGCGUGAGGGAAGACUGCCCUAUGGGUUGUAAACCUCUUUUGUCAGGGAGCAACGCCGGCUACGUGUAGCCGGACUGAGAGUACCUGAAGAAAAAGCAUCGGCUAACUCCGUGCCAGCAGCCGCGGUAAUACGGAGGAUGCGAGCGUUAUCCGGAUUUAUUGGGUUUAAAGGGUGCGUAGGCGGAAUGCCAAGUCAGCGGUAAAAUCGCGGGGCUCAACCUCGCUCCGCCGUUGAAACUGGCGGUCUUGAGUGGGCGAGAAGUAUGCGGAAUGCGUGGUGUAGCGGUGAAAUGCAUAGAUAUCACGCAGAACUCCGAUUGCGAAGGCAGCAUACCGGCGCCCAACUGACGCUGAAGCACGAAAGCGUGGGUAUCGAACAGGAUUAGAUACCCUAGUAGUC